This 770-nucleotide ribosomal RNA is filed under the name uncultured Polaribacter sp. RNAcentral describes it as "bacterial SSU rRNA". It matches the Rfam family "Bacterial small subunit ribosomal RNA", at positions 90 to 863 of the family's 1533-position model. The record is from RNAcentral. Lineage: Bacteria; Pseudomonadati; Bacteroidota; Flavobacteriia; Flavobacteriales; Flavobacteriaceae.
GACGACCGGCGCACGGGUGCGUAACGCGUAUAGAACCUACCUUUUACAGGGGAAUAGCCUUUAGAAAUGAAGAUUAAUGCCCCAUAGUAUUGCGAAGUGGCAUCAUUUUGUAAUUAAAGAUUUAUCGGUAAAAGAUGGCUAUGCGUCCUAUUAGUUAGUUGGUAAGGUAACGGCUUACCAAGACAUCGAUAGGUAGGGGUCCUGAGAGGGAGAUCCCCCACACUGGUACUGAGACACGGACCAGACUCCUACGGGAGGCAGCAGUGAGGAAUAUUGGGCAAUGGAGGAGACUCUGACCCAGCCAUGCCGCGUGUAGGAAGAAUGCCCUAUGGGUUGUAAACUACUUUUAUACAGGAAGAAACACUGGUAUGUAUACCAGCUUGACGGUACUGUAAGAAUAAGGACCGGCUAACUCCGUGCCAGCAGCCGCGGUAAUACGGAGGGUCCAAGCGUUAUCCGGAAUCAUUGGGUUUAAAGGGUCCGCAGGCGGUCAAUUAAGUCAGAGGUGAAAUCCCGUAGCUCAACUACGGAACUGCCUUUGAUACUGGUUGACUUGAGUCAUAUGGAAGUAGAUAGAAUGUGUAGUGUAGCGGUGAAAUGCAUAGAUAUUACACAGAAUACCGAUUGCGAAGGCAGUCUACUACGUAUGUACUGACGCUCAUGGACGAAAGCGUGGGGAGCGAACAGGAUUAGAUACCCUGGUAGUCCACGCCGUAAACGAUGGAUACUAGUUGUUGGGCAUUAGCUCAGUGACUAAGCGAAAGUGAUAA